The sequence is a small RNA, 67 nucleotides long. It matches the Rfam family "Bacillaceae-1 RNA". The record is from Rfam.
GAGCUAAGAUCAAAGACUAAGAACGCCACGUCCUGUGGCAACGUCUUUGUGACCCACAUCCUGUGGG